RNAcentral lists this ribosomal RNA (497 nucleotides) under uncultured bacterium. RNAcentral describes it as "partial 16S ribosomal RNA". It matches the Rfam family "Bacterial small subunit ribosomal RNA", at positions 28 to 507 of the family's 1533-position model. The record is from RNAcentral.
GAUGAACGCUGGCGGCGUGCCUAAUACAUGCAAGUCGAGCGAACGGACGAGAAGCUUGCUUCUCUGAUGUUAGCGGCGGACGGGUGAGUAACACGUGGAUAACCUACCUAUAAGACUGGGAUAACUUCGGGAAACCGGAGCUAAUACCGGAUAAUAUUUUGAACCGCAUGGUUCAAAAGUGAAAGACGGUCUUGCUGUCACUUAUAGAUGGAUCCGCGCUGCAUUAGCUAGUUGGUAAGGUAACGGCUUACCAAGGCAACGAUGCAUAGCCGACCUGAGAGGGUGAUCGGCCACACUGGAACUGAGACACGGUCCAGACUCCUACGGGAGGCAGCAGUAGGGAAUCUUCCUCAAUGGGCGAAAGCCUGACGGAGCAACGCCGCGUGAGUGAUGAAGGUCUUCGGAUCGUAAAACUCUGUUAUUAGGGAAGAACAUAUGUGUAAGUAACUGUGCACAUCUUGACGGUACCUAAUCAGAAAGCCACGGCUAACUACGUG